Molecule: non-coding RNA, 330 nt
Organism: Salmo salar (Atlantic salmon)
Lineage: Eukaryota; Metazoa; Chordata; Actinopteri; Salmoniformes; Salmonidae
Source: RefSeq, a predicted model, not a curated record
UUAACCUGGAUGUGGGGAAAUGUCCUGCCUUGGAGUAUGGUUGUAUCUAUCUCCACCAGACCCCUUGGAAAUCAGAUGACAAACCUGCAUGGAUUAGCAAGAGAAAACAUGACUCCCCCAUCUCAUCCCACCAACUCUGUCAGUCCAGCAGGCCCCACAAUGCAGCCUCCACACCACUGCAGUAACAGCCACAUCUUCCCAUCACAAAGCUUCAGUACUAUCGCAAUGUGUUGAUUUACCAUCCAGGAUCCUGUGUUAACGUCAAUGUGAAACAGCAUUGACCCGUGAUCACCACCAACCAGGGCUCCACAGCGGUAUCCUUCGAUGACC